GACGAAGGGGGCAAGCGUUGUUCGGAAUUACUGGGCGUAAAGGGCGCGUAGGCGGCUCUUUAAGUCAGGCGUGAAAGCCCUGGGCUCAACCUGGGAAUGGCGCUUGAUACUGGAGGGCUAGAGAGCGGGAGAGGAUGGUGGAAUUCCCAGUGUAGAGGUGAAAUUCGUAGAUAUUGGGAAGGACACCGGUGGCGAAGGCGGCCAUCUGGACCGUAUCUGACGCUGAGGCGCGAAAGCGUGGGGAGCAAAC
RNAcentral lists this ribosomal RNA (250 nucleotides) under uncultured bacterium. RNAcentral's name for it is "partial 16S ribosomal RNA". It matches the Rfam family "Bacterial small subunit ribosomal RNA", at positions 524 to 773 of the family's 1533-position model. The record is from RNAcentral.